GACGAACGUUGGCGGCGUGCCUAACACAUGCAAGUUGAGCGUGGCCUUAGUUUACUAAGGUCUAGCAGCGGACGGCUGAGUAAUGAACAGGAACGUACCUCGAGGUGGGGGAUAGCCCUUCGAAAGAAGGGGUAAUACCGCAUAUGAUCGCAAGAUCAAAGCCGCAAGGCGCCACGAGAGCGGCCUGUUUCCUAUCAGGUAGUUGGUGGGGUAAAUGCCUACCAAGCCUAUGACGGGAGUUGGUCUGAGAGGAUGACCAGCCAGAUCGGGACUGAGACACGGCCCGAACUCCUACGGGAGGCAGCAGUUGGGAAUUUUGCAC
RNAcentral lists this ribosomal RNA (322 nucleotides) under uncultured bacterium. RNAcentral's name for it is "bacterial SSU rRNA". It matches the Rfam family "Bacterial small subunit ribosomal RNA", at positions 28 to 369 of the family's 1533-position model. The record is from RNAcentral.